This 2223-nucleotide ribosomal RNA is filed under the name Escherichia coli. RNAcentral's name for it is "partial 23S ribosomal RNA". It matches the Rfam family "Bacterial large subunit ribosomal RNA", at positions 609 to 2815 of the family's 2925-position model. The record is from RNAcentral. Lineage: Bacteria; Pseudomonadati; Pseudomonadota; Gammaproteobacteria; Enterobacterales; Enterobacteriaceae.
UGUAUAAUGGGUCAGCGACUUAUAUUCUGUAGCAAGGUUAACCGAAUAGGGGAGCCGAAGGGAAACCGAGUCUUAACUGGGCGUUAAGUUGCAGGGUAUAGACCCGAAACCCGGUGAUCUAGCCAUGGGCAGGUUGAAGGUUGGGUAACACUAACUGGAGGACCGAACCGACUAAUGUUGAAAAAUUAGCGGAUGACUUGUGGCUGGGGGUGAAAGGCCAAUCAAACCGGGAGAUAGCUGGUUCUCCCCGAAAGCUAUUUAGGUAGCGCCUCGUGAAUUCAUCUCCGGGGGUAGAGCACUGUUUCGGCAAGGGGGUCAUCCCGACUUACCAACCCGAUGCAAACUGCGAAUACCGGAGAAUGUUAUCACGGGAGACACACGGCGGGUGCUAACGUCCGUCGUGAAGAGGGAAACAACCCAGACCGCCAGCUAAGGUCCCAAAGUCAUGGUUAAGUGGGAAACGAUGUGGGAAGGCCCAGACAGCCAGGAUGUUGGCUUAGAAGCAGCCAUCAUUUAAAGAAAGCGUAAUAGCUCACUGGUCGAGUCGGCCUGCGCGGAAGAUGUAACGGGGCUAAACCAUGCACCGAAGCUGCGGCAGCGACGCUUAUGCGUUGUUGGGUAGGGGAGCGUUCUGUAAGCCUGUGAAGGUGUACUGUGAGGCAUGCUGGAGGUAUCAGAAGUGCGAAUGCUGACAUAAGUAACGAUAAAGCGGGUGAAAAGCCCGCUCGCCGGAAGACCAAGGGUUCCUGUCCAACGUUAAUCGGGGCAGGGUGAGUCGACCCCUAAGGCGAGGCCGAAAGGCGUAGUCGAUGGGAAACAGGUUAAUAUUCCUGUACUUGGUGUUACUGCGAAGGGGGGACGGAGAAGGCUAUGUUGGCCGGGCGACGGUUGUCCCGGUUUAAGCGUGUAGGCUGGUUUUCCAGGCAAAUCCGGAAAAUCAAGGCUGAGGCGUGAUGACGAGGCACUACGGUGCUGAAGCAACAAAUGCCCUGCUUCCAGGAAAAGCCUCUAAGCAUCAGGUAACAUCAAAUCGUACCCCAAACCGACACAGGUGGUCAGGUAGAGAAUACCAAGGCGCUUGAGAGAACUCGGGUGAAGGAACUAGGCAAAAUGGUGCCGUAACUUCGGGAGAAGGCACGCUGAUAUGUAGGUGAAGCGACUUGCUCGUGGAGCUGAAAUCAGUCGAAGAUACCAGCUGGCUGCAACUGUUUAUUAAAAACACAGCACUGUGCAAACACGAAAGUGGACGUAUACGGUGUGACGCCUGCCCGGUGCCGGAAGGUUAAUUGAUGGGGUUAGCGGUAACGCGAAGCUCUUGAUCGAAGCCCCGGUAAACGGCGGCCGUAACUAUAACGGUCCUAAGGUAGCGAAAUUCCUUGUCGGGUAAGUUCCGACCUGCACGAAUGGCGUAAUGAUGGCCAGGCUGUCUCCACCCGAGACUCAGUGAAAUUGAACUCGCUGUGAAGAUGCAGUGUACCCGCGGCAAGACGGAAAGACCCCGUGAACCUUUACUAUAGCUUGACACUGAACAUUGAGCCUUGAUGUGUAGGAUAGGUGGGAGGCUUUGAAGUGUGGACGCCAGUCUGCAUGGAGCCGACCUUGAAAUACCACCCUUUAAUGUUUGAUGUUCUAACGUUGGCCCCUGAUCGGGGUUGCGGACAGUGUCUGGUGGGUAGUUUGACUGGGGCGGUCUCCUCCUAAAGAGUAACGGAGGAGCACGAAGGUUGGCUAAUCCUGGUCGGACAUCAGGAGGUUAGUGCAAUGGCAUAAGCCAGCUUGACUGCGAGCGUGACGGCGCGAGCAGGUGCGAAAGCAGGUCAUAGUGAUCCGGUGGUUCUGAAUGGAAGGGCCAUCGCUCAACGGAUAAAAGGUACUCCGGGGAUAACAGGCUGAUACCGCCCAAGAGUUCAUAUCGACGGCGGUGUUUGGCACCUCGAUGUCGGCUCAUCACAUCCUGGGGCUGAAGUAGGUCCCAAGGGUAUGGCUGUUCGCCAUUUAAAGUGGUACGCGAGCUGGGUUUAGAACGUCGUGAGACAGUUCGGUCCCUAUCUGCCGUGGGCGCUGGAGAACUGAGGGGGGCUGCUCCUAGUACGAGAGGACCGGAGUGGACGCAUCACUGGUGUUCGGGUUGUCAUGCCAAUGGCACUGCCCGGUAGCUAAAUGCGGAAGAGAUAAGUGCUGAAAGCAUCUAAGCACGAAACUUGCCCCGAGAUGAGUUCUCCC